This 497-nucleotide ribosomal RNA is filed under the name uncultured bacterium. RNAcentral describes it as "partial 16S ribosomal RNA". It matches the Rfam family "Bacterial small subunit ribosomal RNA", at positions 28 to 507 of the family's 1533-position model. The record is from RNAcentral.
GAUGAACGCUGGCGGCGUGCCUAAUACAUGCAAGUCGAGCGAACGGACGAGAAGCUUGCUUCUCUGAUGUUAGCGGCGGACGGGUGAGUAACACGUGGAUAACCUACCUAUAAGACUGGGAUAACUUCGGGAAACCGGAGCUAAUACCGGAUAAUAUUUUGAACCGCAUGGUUCAAAAGUGAAAGGCGGUCUUGCUGUCACUUAUAGAUGGAUCCGCGCUGCAUUAGCUAGUUGGUAAGGUAACGGCUUACCAAGGCAACGAUGCAUAGCCGACCUGAGAGGGGGUGGGGCAAAAGUGAAAGUGAGACACGGCCCGGCGCCCGAGGGGAGGAGGCAGAGGGGAUUCUCCGAAAAGGGGGGAAGGCUGGACGGAGCAACGCGGGGGGAGUGAGGAAGUUGUCGGAACCGAAAAACUGUUUUAUGGGGGAAAAAAAUAGUGGAAAGAAACUGGGCACAUCUGGAGGGUACCUAACCAAAACACCACGACAAACUCCGUC